Molecule: ribosomal RNA, 605 nt
Filed under: Pseudogymnoascus sp. APA-2015
Lineage: Eukaryota; Fungi; Ascomycota; Leotiomycetes; Thelebolales; Thelebolaceae
Description: eukaryotic LSU rRNA
Rfam family: 5.8S ribosomal RNA (bases 242-395)
Source: RNAcentral
CUUGGUCAUUUAGAGGAAGUAAAAGUCGUAACAAGGUUUCCGUAGGUGAACCUGCGGAAGGAUCAUUACAGUAGUCGCCCGGGUUGCCGCAAGGCCUCCCGGGUAACCUACCACCCUUUGUUUAUUACACUUUGUUGCUUUGGCAGGCCUGCCCUCGGGCUGCUGGCUCCGGCCGGCGAGCGCUUGCCAGAGGACCUAAACUCUGUUUGUCUAUACUGUCUGAGUACUAUAUAAUAGUUAAAACUUUCAACAACGGAUCUCUUGGUUCUGGCAUCGAUGAAGAACGCAGCGAAAUGCGAUAAGUAAUGUGAAUUGCAGAAUUCAGUGAAUCAUCGAAUCUUUGAACGCACAUUGCGCCCCCUGGUAUUCCGGGGGGCAUGCCUGUCCGAGCGUCAUUACAACCCUCAAGCUCAGCUUGGUAUUGGGCCCCGCCGACCCGGCGGGCCCUAAAGUCAGUGGCGGUGCCGUCCGGCUCCGAGCGUAGUAAUUCUUCUCGCUCUGGAGGUCCGGUCGUGUGCUCGCCAGCAACCCCCAAUUUUUUUCAGGUUGACCUCGGAUCAGGUAGGGAUACCCGCUGAACUUAAGCAUAUCAAUAAGCGGAGGAA